Molecule: ribosomal RNA, 407 nt
Filed under: Theileria mutans
Lineage: Eukaryota; Apicomplexa; Aconoidasida; Piroplasmida; Theileriidae
Description: bacterial SSU rRNA
Rfam family: Eukaryotic small subunit ribosomal RNA
Source: RNAcentral
AGCGCGGAAUUCAUGCACUUAGUAAUUGGAAUGAAGGGAAUCUAAACCCCUUCCAGAGUAUCAAUUGGAGGGCAAGUCUGGUGCCAGCAGCCGCGGUAAUUCCAGCUCCAAUAGCGUAUAUUAAAAUUGUUGCAGUUAAAAAGCUCGUAGUUGAAUUUCUGCUGCAUCGCCGAGGCUCCUUUGCGAGUUUGGGUGUUUUGUGGCUUAUCUCGGGCUCGCUUGCGUCUCCCGGUGUUUUACUUUGAGAAAAUUAGAGUGCUCAAAGCAGGCUUUUGCCUUGAAUAGUUUAGCAUGGAAUAAUAAAGUAGGACUUUGGUUCUAUUUUGUUGGUUUUAGGUACCAGAGUAAUGGUUAAUAGGAACAGUUGGGGGCAUUCGUAUUUAACUGUCAGAGGUGAAGAUCUUAGA